RNAcentral lists this ribosomal RNA (431 nucleotides) under uncultured prokaryote. Its description in RNAcentral is "bacterial SSU rRNA". It matches the Rfam family "Bacterial small subunit ribosomal RNA", at positions 355 to 776 of the family's 1533-position model. The record is from RNAcentral. RNAcentral also lists the same sequence under 1 other name.
UCGAGGAUCUUCCACAAUGGGCGAAAGCCUGAUGGAGCGACGCCGCGUGAGGGAUGAAGGCCCUUUGGGUUGUAAACCUCUGUUAGGGGAGAAGAACAGCGGGGGGAGCAACAUGCCCUCCGCCUGACGUUAUCCCCAGAGAAAGCUCCGGCCAACUCCGUGCCAGCAGCCGCGGUAAUACGGGGGGAGCGAGCGUUGUCCGGAAUCAUUGGGCGUAAAGGGCGUGUAGGCGGCUGGGCAAGUCGAAUGUGAAAUCCCACGGCUCAACCGUGGAACUGCGUUCGAAACUGCCCUGCUUGAGUGCGGGAGAGGUGUGCGGAAUUCCUGGUGUAGCGGUGGAAUGCGUAGAUAUCAGGAAGAACACCGGUGGCGAAGGCGGCACACUGGCCUGGCACUGACGCUGAGGCGCGAAAGCGUGGGUAGCAAACAGG